GGCGGGGUAGCUCAGUUGGUUAGAGCACACGCUUCAUAAGCGUGGUGUCGCCGGUUCGAUCCCGGCCCCCGCUA
RNAcentral lists this transfer RNA (74 nucleotides) under Candidatus Uhrbacteria bacterium. Its description in RNAcentral is "tRNA-Met". It matches the Rfam family "tRNA". Rfam says of the family: Transfer RNA (tRNA) molecules are approximately 80 nucleotides in length. Lineage: Bacteria; Candidatus Uhriibacteriota. The record is from RNAcentral.